RNAcentral lists this ribosomal RNA (468 nucleotides) under uncultured bacterium. Its description in RNAcentral is "partial 16S ribosomal RNA". It matches the Rfam family "Bacterial small subunit ribosomal RNA", at positions 28 to 507 of the family's 1533-position model. The record is from RNAcentral.
GACGAACGCUGGCGGCGUGCUUAACACAUGCAAGUCGAACGGACAGGCCCUGCUUUUGUGGGGUGCUCGAGUGGCGAACGGGUGAGUAACACGUGAGUAACCUGCCCUUGACUUUGGGAUAACUUCAUGCAACUGGUGCUAAUACCGGAUAGGAGCUCCUGCUGCAUGGUGGGGGUUGGUAAGUUUGGGCGGUUGGGGAUGGACUGGCGGCUUAUCAGCUUGUUGGUGGGGUUGUGUCUUACCAAGGCUUUGACGGGUUGCCUGGCUGAGAGGGUGACCGGCUACAUUGGGACUGAACUACGACCCAGACUCCAACGGGAGGCAGCGGUGGAGAAGAGAAUCCAGUGGACGGGGGGAUAAUGCAACGACGCCACGUGGGGUAUAACGGCCUUGGGGUAGUAAACCGAUAUUGCCUGUGACGAAGCGUUAGUGACGGUAAUGGGUGAAGAAGCACCGGCUAACUACGUG